RNAcentral lists this ribosomal RNA (497 nucleotides) under uncultured bacterium. Its description in RNAcentral is "partial 16S ribosomal RNA". It matches the Rfam family "Bacterial small subunit ribosomal RNA", at positions 28 to 507 of the family's 1533-position model. The record is from RNAcentral.
GAUGAACGCUGGCGGCGUGCCUAAUACAUGCAAGUCGAGCGAACGGACGAGAAGCUUGCUUUUCUGAUGUUAGCGGCGGACGGGUGAGUAACACGUGGAUAACCUACCUAUAAGACUGGGAUAACUUCGGGAAACCGGAGCUAAUACCGGAUAAUAUUUUGAACCGCAUGGUUCAAAAGUGAAAGACGGUCUUGCUGUCACUUAUAGAUGGAUCCGCGCUGCAUUAGCUAGUUGGUAAGGUAACGGCUUACCAAGGCAACGAUGCAUAGCCGACCUGAGGGGGUGAUCGGCCACACUGGAACUGAGACACGGUCCAGACUCCUACGGGAGGCAGCAGUAGGGAAUCUUCCGAAAUGGGCGAAAGCCUGACGGAGCAACGCCGCGUGAGUGAUGAAGGUCUUCGGAUCGUAAAACUCUGUUAUUAGGGAAGAACAUAUGUGUAAGUAACUGUGCACAUCUUGACGGUACCUAAUCAGAAAGCCACGGCUAACUACGUG